RNAcentral lists this ribosomal RNA (253 nucleotides) under uncultured bacterium. RNAcentral's name for it is "partial 16S ribosomal RNA". It matches the Rfam family "Bacterial small subunit ribosomal RNA", at positions 524 to 776 of the family's 1533-position model. The record is from RNAcentral.
UACGUAGGGGGCAAGCGUUGUCCGGAUUUAUUGGGCGUAAAGAGCGUGUAGGCGGCUUGUUAGGUCCGUUGUGAAAACUCGAGGCUCAACCUCGAGACGUCGAUGGAAACCAUCUGGCUAGAGUCCGGAAGAGGAGAGUGGAAUUCCUGGUGUAGCGGUGAAAUGCGCAGAUAUCAGGAGGAACACCGGUGGCGAAGGCGGGUCUCUGGGCCGAUACUGACGCUGAGGAGCGAAAGCGUGGGGAGCGAACAGG